GCCGGGGGUGGUGGCGCACACCUGUAAUCCCAGCAGCUUGGGAGGCUGAGGCACGAAGAUCUUGAAUUCAAAGCCAGCCUCAGCAAUUUAGGGAGGCCCUGAGCAAGUUGGCAAGACCCUGUCUCUA
RNAcentral lists this small RNA (127 nucleotides) under Marmota monax (woodchuck). The record is from RNAcentral. Lineage: Eukaryota; Metazoa; Chordata; Mammalia; Rodentia; Sciuridae.